Molecule: long non-coding RNA, 207 nt
Filed under: Elaeis guineensis (African oil palm)
Lineage: Eukaryota; Viridiplantae; Streptophyta; Magnoliopsida; Arecales; Arecaceae
Description: long non-coding RNA (EGUI_LNC048304)
Source: RNAcentral
CUUCAGCUCCGUAUGGAUAUCCAUAAAGGUUAGACACGUGUGCGGCUUUAACAGAACUUACAAACAUCUUCGGAUAUAGAUUUGGGAGGAGUUUAGCACUACAAGUAGAUGAUAUGAUUAUUAGUUUUAUUUUUAUUUUGAAAUCAGAUGCAUGAUCUAUUGAAAAUUAUGUUCUAAAGUCAAUCGUCAGUUUGUUGAUGGUUAUGC